Molecule: ribosomal RNA, 496 nt
Filed under: uncultured bacterium
Lineage: Bacteria
Description: partial 16S ribosomal RNA
Rfam family: Bacterial small subunit ribosomal RNA
Source: RNAcentral
GACGAACGCUGGCGGCGUGCCUAAUACAUGCAAGUUGAGCGCUGAAGGUUGGUACUUGUACCAACUGGAUGAGCAGCGAACGGGUGAGUAACGCGUGGGGAAUCUGCCUUUGAGCGGGGGACAACAUUUGGAAACGAAUGCUAAUACCGCAUAAAAACUUUAACACAAGUUUUAAGUUUGAAAGAUGCAAUUGCAUCACUCAAAGAUGAUCCCGCGUUGUAUUAGCUAGUUGGUGAGGUAAAGGCUCACCAAGGCGAUGAUACAUAGCCGACCUGAGAGGGUGAUCGGCCACAUUGGGACUGAGACACGGCCCAAACUCCUACGGGAGGCAGCAGUAGGGAAUCUUCGGCAAUGGACGAAAGUCUGACCGAGCAACGCCGCGUGAGUGAAGAAGGUUUUCGGAUCGUAAAACUCUGUUGGUAGAGAAGAACGUUGGUGAGAGUGGAAAGCUCAUCAAGUGACGGUAACUACCCAGAAAGGGACGGCUAACUACGUG